This 460-nucleotide ribosomal RNA is filed under the name uncultured bacterium. RNAcentral describes it as "SSU rRNA". It matches the Rfam family "Bacterial small subunit ribosomal RNA", at positions 26 to 518 of the family's 1533-position model. The record is from RNAcentral.
AGAAUCAACGCUGGCGGCGUGCCUAACACAUGCAAGUCGCACGAGAAAGGGUAGCAAUACCUGAGUAAAGUGGCGCACGGGUGAGUAACACGUGAAUUAUCUACCUCCGAGUGGGGAAUAACUGAGAGAAAUCUUAGCUAAUACCGCAUAACACUUACGAGUCAAAGCAGCAAUGCGCUUGGAGAGGAGUUCGCGGCAGAUUAGUUAGUUGGCGGGGUAAUGGCCCACCAAGACGAUGAUCUGUAUCCGGCCUGAGAGGGCGCACGGACACACUGGAACUGAAACACGGUCCAGACUCCUACGGGAGGCAGCAGUGGGGAAUUUUGCGCAAUGGGGGAAACCCUGACGCAGCAACGCCGCGUGGAGGAUGAAAUCCCUUGGGAUGUAAACUCCUUUCGAUAGGGAAGAUAAUGACGGUACCUAUAGAAGAAGCCCCGGCUAACUUCGCGCCAGCAGCCGC